AGAAACACAUAUACACACACACACACACACACACACACACACACACAACACGGCAUGAAUGUGCAAUCAGUCAAGUGAGGUGAAAACCCGACUGUAUGUAAAUAAAGGAUGUGGAAGUGUAUCCGACAGCCCCCCCCCCCCCAAAAAAAAGGGCUGUGUGCCUGCCUGCACAGUGGGCGGGCGUGACAAGCAGGCUGAAGCUGCGGGCAAAAGACUGCACAGAUGAAGCAGAAAAGUGUGCUAUUUAGCACCGCGCGCCUGUCUGUGCAUUUUAAACACGAGCCAGACUCGCAGUCACUCUGGCACACAACAACACGUGGAUCGAUAUUUGUGUGGAUGGCGCACAAACCAACAGCUCUCAGCUCAGCAUGUCCUUCAGGAAUAUGGCGGAGGGACUGAGGGCAGUUGAAAAUGGAUUGCUGUAGUGGAGACUGUGGAGGAGCGCAUGUUUAUUUGGGCCAUUUCUUGUCAUAUAUGCUGACCAGAUGCGGAAAGGAGAAUGAGUGAAG
Hippocampus comes (tiger tail seahorse) is the source of this 509-nucleotide long non-coding RNA. RefSeq lists it as uncharacterized. NCBI's taxonomy places the organism in Eukaryota, Metazoa, Chordata, Actinopteri, Syngnathiformes, Syngnathidae. The record is from RefSeq and is a predicted model, not a curated record. The transcript has 3 exons.